UACGUAGGGGGCUAGCGUUGCUCGGAAUCACUGGGCGUAAAGGGUGCGUAGGCGGGUUAUUAAGUCAGAGGUGAAAUCCUGGAGCUCAACUCCAGAACUGCCUUUGAUACUGGCGAUCUUGAGUCCGGGAGAGGUGAGUGGAACUGCGAGUGUAGAGGUGAAAUUCGUAGAUAUUCGCAAGAACACCAGUGGCGAAGGCGGCUCACUGGCCCGGUACUGACGCUGAGGUGCGAAAGCGUGGGGAGCAAACAGG
RNAcentral lists this ribosomal RNA (253 nucleotides) under uncultured bacterium. RNAcentral describes it as "partial 16S ribosomal RNA". It matches the Rfam family "Bacterial small subunit ribosomal RNA", at positions 524 to 776 of the family's 1533-position model. The record is from RNAcentral.